GCGGAGGCUGAACGUCGAAACCGAAACCCCCUUUGCGAGAUUCGCUGCAUCUAUACCUGAUUUGCGUUCAAAAAUGCCUGCUUAAUUAUUUCAUAGUAAGAGCAAACAUGCCUUAAGAAAAGGAGUAGGUUUGAAACUUUAGUAACCAUAAAAAGUACGCCAGGUGGAUGCCUUUCUACUCCAGGAAGCCGCAGCCUACGGCCUGAAGGAGGAAGAGGACGCGGUCAGUUUGAAAUAGCUGUUGUGAUAGAGCUGGACCUGUAGACAAGGGAACUAACACAUUUGAGGAAAAAAGAAUCCAAAAUAAGAGAUUGGUGUGUGUGGUGAGGGUAAAGAAGUCCACAUGCAGCAGCAUCUUGGAAAUGCUGUAAUGCAGGGGUGCCCAAACUCAGUUCUGGACAGCUGGUGUCCUGCAGAGUUUAGAGUCAACUUCAACUAAACUCUGCAAGACAGCAGCAGUUCUAGACUGAGUUUAGCCACUCCUGUUCUCCUGUAGUGAACUGAACGAGACCCUGCAUCAGUCCACAUGCCCUUGUGUCCUCAUCUGGACCAGAUGUUGCUGUGGUCUCUUCAUCAUCCGUAUCUCGGGCAUGGACUGCCAUGCAUCACCGUCCUGUUUCAGUCUGACUGCAGCAAUGAGGGAUGUGAUGAUGGCGAAGUCCCUCUGAUCAUCUGAAGAACUGGCCCAGCUGUGUGGAGAUACAGCAAAACAUGGGCUUCUGUCUGUAAUACAUCACUGUUAGAAUAAAGCUUGGUUUCAUGUGUUGGUGACUUGUAUUUAUUUGUCAUGAUUACUCAUAUUCAUUCUUUUAAUAAUAUAAUUAUGUUUCUGUUUGUUUUCAAUAAAUAAUGAUAAUACUUUC
This 863-nucleotide long non-coding RNA is filed under the name Danio rerio (zebrafish). RNAcentral describes it as "si:ch211-280c16.3 (ENSDARG00000101943.2)". The record is from RNAcentral. Lineage: Eukaryota; Metazoa; Chordata; Actinopteri; Cypriniformes; Danionidae.